AAUACAACAAUAUUUUUACUGUGUAGAUCUUUUUAAAAUGGGAAUUGCACUUAUGAUAACAAGGGGACUUAUGCUAACCGAAUCAGCUUUACAGAAUGUAAUACGGAAAUAUGGUAAGCCGGAGCGUUAUAUGUGGUGCCAAAGUGAAAUUGCUGUGCCUCCAAAGGCAGUUUUAUCGGAUGGAAAAGAAGUACCCCUGAUUGGACUGGGAACCUGGAUGAGCCCUCGUGGUCAAGUUACAGAAGCUGUUAAGGUUGCCAUUGACGCUGGAUAUCGACACAUUGAUUGUGCGUAUGUAUACCAGAAUGAGAAUGAAGUUGGCGAAGGCAUUGAGGCAAAGAUUAAGGAAGGAGUUGUGAAGCGCGAGGAUUUGUUUAUUACAAGCAAGCUUUGGAAUACCUUCCAUCGUCCUGAUUUGGUUAGAACGGCUUGUGAGAAUUCUUUGGAUUUAUUGAAGCUAAAAUAUCUGGAUAUGUAUUUAAUUCAUUGGCCUAUGGGAUAUAAAGAGGGUUGCGAUUUGUUCCCUGUUGGAAAAGAUGGAAAAACAUUGUAUUCCCCGGACGAUUAUGUAGAUACCUGGAAGGCUAUGGAACAGCUUGUCAAAGAUGGCCUUGUGAAGUCUAUUGGUGUUUCCAACUUCAAUAAAGCGCAAAUUGAGCGUAUAUUGGCAAUUGCCAAGAUUCCUCCAGCUACAAACCAGAUUGAGUGUCAUCCAUAUUUGACACAAAAUAAAUUGUGCGAUUUUUGCAAAUCGAAAGAUAUUGCAAUUACAGCGUACAGUCCCUUGGGUAGUCCAAACCGUCCUUGGGCCAAGGAAGGAGAUCCAGUUAUUUUGGAGGAAGACAAGAUCAAAGAAAUUGCGAAGAAUAAGAAUAAGACCUCUGCUCAGAUUCUUAUACGAUAUCAGAUUCAACGCACAAACAUUGUCAUUCCCAAAUCGGUAACCAAGGAACGAAUUGAAUCCAAUUUCAAAGUAUUUGAUUUCGAGUUGUCACCUGAGGAAAUUAAAACAAUAGAAGGCUUUGAAUGUAAUGGACGCUUGGUACCACUUCUUAAGGAGAGUGGAUCACAUAAAUACUAUCCAUUUCAUGAUGAAUAUUAAAUAAUAUCAAAAGAAAUUCAAGACGUCAGUAAAAAAAAAAUUUCAAGGAGAGUUACAUAAUCAAUACGGACAUCCACAUCAUCCAUUCGAGCACGAUGAAUACUAAAUGAGUCCCAAAGACCAUUGUGGAUUAUCUGUAUACAUAUAUUAUAUUAUUUUAAAUGAAUGAUAUGCAUAAUAAAAUGAUAUAUGAAUACA
Drosophila busckii is the source of this 1300-nucleotide RNA transcript. It is a transcript of the gene named aldo-keto reductase family 1 member B1, with no coding region annotated. The transcript has 6 exons. NCBI's taxonomy places the organism in Eukaryota, Metazoa, Arthropoda, Insecta, Diptera, Drosophilidae. The record is from RefSeq and is a predicted model, not a curated record.